CGCAUCUGUGCAUGCAGCAUAUCAAUAAGCGGAGGAAAAGAAACUAACUAGGAUUCCCUCAGUAACGGCGAGUGAAGCGGGAAGAGCUCAAAUUUGAAAUCUUGAAAGGUCUACCUUGCACGAAUUGUAGUUUAAAGAAGUGUUUUCUGCUGAAGUUUUGGUAAAAGUUCUUUGGAAUAGGACAUCAUAGAGGGUGAGAAUCCCGUAUAUUGACCUUGGACUUUGUCAGCUUUGUGAUACACUUUCAAAGAGUCGGGUUGUUUGGGAAUGCAGCCCAAAACGGGAGGUAAAUUUCUUCUAAGGCUAAAUAUUGGCGAGAGACCGAUAGCGAACAAGUACCGUGAGGGAAAGAUGAAAAGAACUUUGAAAAGAGAGUUAAAUAGUACGUGAAAUUGUCAAAAGGGAAGCGUUUAACACCAGUGUUGUUUUCUGAAAAUCAACCUCUGUUAGCUUUAUGCAUGUUUGUUUAGACCUAAUCAGCUAUCUUGCAUGUUCUAUUGUUUGCAGUGGUGCACUUUUCAGUUUACAGGUCAACAUCAGUUUUUUUUUACCGUAAAAAAGUUAAAGAAAGGUAGCUCAUGGCUCCGGGUCGUGAGUGUUAUAGUCUUUUUCCUAUGCGGUAGGAGAGACUGAGGUCUGCAGUGUAGGCUAUUUGGCUAGAUACUCAGGUGCUAUGUGAUACCAUUUCAUAAACAACUUGUUGAUUAUGUUUUGUCUAUUGCAUACUCGCUUGUACUAUCAUACCUACGCUUAGGAUGUUGACGAUCAGCUGAGCGCG
Molecule: ribosomal RNA, 778 nt
Filed under: uncultured Neocallimastigales
Lineage: Eukaryota; Fungi; Neocallimastigomycota; Neocallimastigomycetes; Neocallimastigales
Description: partial large subunit ribosomal RNA
Rfam family: Eukaryotic large subunit ribosomal RNA
Source: RNAcentral